RNAcentral lists this non-coding RNA (24 nucleotides) under Arabidopsis thaliana (thale cress). The record is from RNAcentral. Lineage: Eukaryota; Viridiplantae; Streptophyta; Magnoliopsida; Brassicales; Brassicaceae.
GGGCAAAUCAAAGAAGUUGGAAUC